AAAAAAAAAAAAAAAAAAAAGCUCUUUUCCUCCCCGGCUGUGUAAGGAUAGGCCGCCAUCAUGAACGACACAGUAACUAUCCGCACUAGAAAGUUCAUGACCAACCGACUGCUUCAGAGGAAACAAAUGGUCAUUGAUGCCCUUCACCCCGGGAAGGCAACAGUGCCUAAGACAGAAAUUCGGGAAAAACUAGCCAAAAUGUACAAGACCACACCGGAUGUCAUCUUUGUAUUUGGAUUCAGAACUCAUUUUGGUGGUGGCAAGACAACUGGCUUUGGCAUGAUUUAUGAUUCCCUGGAUUAUGCAAAGAAAAAUGAACCCAAACAUAGACUUGCAAGACAUGGCCUGUAUGAGAAGAAAAAGACCUCAAGAAAGCAACGAAAGGAACGCAAGAACAGAAUGAAGAAAGUCAGGGGGAAUGCAAAGGCCAAUGUUGGUGCUGGCAAAAAGUGAGCUGGAGAUUGGAUCACAGCCAAAGGAGUAAAGGUGCUGCAAUGAUGUUAUCUAUGGCCGUUGUGGAUUUUUCACGAGAAGCUUAAUAAACUAAAAACUUU
Molecule: RNA transcript, 554 nt
Organism: Sapajus apella (tufted capuchin)
Lineage: Eukaryota; Metazoa; Chordata; Mammalia; Primates; Cebidae
Gene name: 40S ribosomal protein S24 pseudogene
Exons: 1
Source: RefSeq, a predicted model, not a curated record